Small nuclear RNA from Cynocephalus volans (Philippine flying lemur), 106 nucleotides. NCBI's taxonomy places the organism in Eukaryota, Metazoa, Chordata, Mammalia, Dermoptera, Cynocephalidae. The record is from RefSeq and is a predicted model, not a curated record.
AUGCUCGCUUCAGCAGUACAUAUACUAAACUGCAAAGAUACAGAGAAGGUUAGCAUGGCCCCUGCACAAGGAUGACAUGCAAAUUCAUGAAGCAUUCCAUAUUUUU